Molecule: microRNA precursor, 76 nt
Filed under: Myotis lucifugus (little brown bat)
Lineage: Eukaryota; Metazoa; Chordata; Mammalia; Chiroptera; Vespertilionidae
Description: mir-9229 microRNA precursor family
Rfam family: mir-9229 microRNA precursor family
Source: Rfam by way of RNAcentral
GAGACACCCUUCUGGGGCAAGACUUGCUUCGGUGGGGCUUUGGUGCUCACUGAGUCUGACCACUGAGUGUGUCCCU